Molecule: long non-coding RNA, 626 nt
Organism: Cebus imitator (Panamanian white-faced capuchin)
Lineage: Eukaryota; Metazoa; Chordata; Mammalia; Primates; Cebidae
Exons: 3
Source: RefSeq, a predicted model, not a curated record
CAGGCUGGAGGAGGGGUGCCCUUCAUCAUCUUGUGAGCAUCUGGGCCAAGUUCAGGGCUGGUGCUCUCUUUCCGAUAGAUUCAGCUGGUGGCACAGAGAUCUGUGAGCUUGCUUUUGCGGGACUUUAAUGAUAUAUACAAGCAGCACGAGGUGCUCCUGACUGUGGAUUAAUUUGGAGAUGACUCUCUGUUGAAGAGUGGCAAGACUCUUGCAAGUUCUUAAAAAUACACUUGUUUGGUAUGAGAAUAAAAAGCAGUGGCUGAAGAACCAGUCUUCUAUGGGCAAGGCUUCUCUGAUGGACAUUUACAUGGCUUUCAUUUAUCUUCCAUUACAAGAAUAUUUUGUACAUGCAUGUGAGUUUUUCUAUAAGAAACACUUCCAGCUUUUCAUUUAAGUCAGAGACUCAAACCUGAAAUGCAAAAGCUUGUAAAACUGUGAGGUGUUAUCAUCCCACCAAAGGAAUGAGAGGGGAACCAGUGAAUGCAUCUGUCUGUUUUGAUCCACCAUGAUAACAGUAAUAGAAAAACUAAGUAAGGACAUCUUACUGAGUUGCAAACAUACUGGAUUUGUAAUGACUUCAGACCAGGAUAUUCACGUGCAAAUAGCCAAGCACCAUGGCCCUCUCU